GCCCGAGUAGCUCAGCCGGCAGAGCAACGCACUCGUAAUGCGUAGGUCAGGGGUUCGAGUCCCCUCUCGGGCU
This 73-nucleotide transfer RNA is filed under the name Actinomycetota bacterium. RNAcentral's name for it is "tRNA-Thr". It matches the Rfam family "tRNA". Rfam says of the family: Transfer RNA (tRNA) molecules are approximately 80 nucleotides in length. Lineage: Bacteria; Bacillati; Actinomycetota. The record is from RNAcentral.